GACGAACGCUGGCGGCGUGCUUAACACAUGCAAGUCGAACGGAAAGGCCCUGCUUUUGUGGGGUGCUCGAGUGGCGAACGGGUGAGUAACACGUGAGUAACCUGCCCUUGACUUUGGGAUAACUUCAGGAAACUGGGGCUAAUACCGGAUAGGAGCUCCUGCUGCAUGGUGGGGGUUGGAAAGUUUCGGCGGUUGGGGCUGGACUCGCGGCUUAUCAGCUUGUGGGUGGGGUAGUGGCUUACCAAGGCUUUGACGGGUAGCCGGCCUGAGAGGGUGACCGGCCACAUUGGGACUGAGAGACGGCCCAGACUCCUACGGGAGGCAGCAGUGGGGAAUAUUGCACAAUGGGCGGAAGCCUGAUGCAGCAACGCCGCGUGCGGGAUGACGGCCUUCGGGUUGUAAACCGCUUUCGCCUGUGACGAAGCGUGAGUGACGGUAAUGGGUAAAGAAGCACCGGCUAACUACGUG
Molecule: ribosomal RNA, 468 nt
Filed under: uncultured bacterium
Lineage: Bacteria
Description: partial 16S ribosomal RNA
Rfam family: Bacterial small subunit ribosomal RNA
Source: RNAcentral